Conger conger (European conger) is the source of this 1408-nucleotide long non-coding RNA. RefSeq lists it as uncharacterized. The record is from RefSeq and is a predicted model, not a curated record. NCBI's taxonomy places the organism in Eukaryota, Metazoa, Chordata, Actinopteri, Anguilliformes, Congridae. The transcript has 5 exons.
UUGGCAGGUAUGUAAUUCUACGUUAGGUUUUACCUAGAUCAAAGCUGAAGUUUAGCUUAAAAAUAUUCAUACCUAAAAAAAUAGUCAACCUAAAAGGUCACAUUACGGCUUCUUUCAGGAAAACGCGCGUUUUCAACGGUUGAGUGUGGGUUGGUGAAGAGGCAGUGAAUCCUGCUGGGUAUUUUUCAGCGGCCUGAAAGCGAUCGCAGGCUGUGGGCGGAUGCGAUAGGCCUGUGGCUGAGCGACGGGGGCACUGCUCGGAGCGACAGGAAGACGAGUCUGAGGGCUCCACCCUGAGGAAGUGGAACGGCGGUGCGAUCUAGCCGCCCAGACACCGACGCGGCAUGACUGAGCUGUGGAUCUGCUUCACCUGCUGCAUCGCAGAGCAGCCCCAGCCGAAGAGGAGACGGCGAAUAGACCGCUCCAUGAUCGGAGAGCCCACAAAUUUUGUCCACACAACCCACGUGGGCUCAGGAGACAUGGCGAUGGGAGUGAGGGCUGCAGGUCCUGCAGGAACCAGCCAGGUGGACAGUCUGCAGGACAAGAUGAAGUCUAAAGGUGGCUAUGGAAACGGAGCGACUGAGAAUGCCCCACAGUGACCAGCUGAGAGGUGCGACUGCGCACAUUCGCUCUGUCAGACUUGGUGAAGCUGGCUGCAUUUUCUGAAACCUGCGUGUAAUGCACUCCUGUCUGCUCCUCAGAAGAUACAUAUUUUAAGUAGAUAUUUUAUUAAGAGGCAAACAAACAUUCAGUGCACAUAACAUAUAAUAUAAUGUAUAAAUUUGUGAUAUUGAAUAUGUAAAUAAUUCCAUAGGUAAAGCACAGUUGUACCUCAAUUCAUAUGUUGGCUACAGAUGUGAUAUCAACACAACACGACAAAUCAGACCGAGUGUAUAAGUGGUAUGUAUUAACGAACGUGUGAUGGUGUCAUGAAAGGCCAGUAUGGUUGUGUGUGAGAAGAUCUCGGUCCCAGCCCGGAUUUAGCUGUUGUACAGGUUCACUCUGGGACACCUUUAUCUUUAAAGAAUGUGAUUGUCACGUGGUGGCAGUGCCACUUCUGAUUUUGUGGGAUGAUUUUUGUGAAGCAGUUUUGGGGAAAAAAGAAAUGUUUGAACAGAUUUUUAAAAGCUUUUUUUUUUACCAAAUAGACAUGUGCCCCAUUAUGUUUUCCGGAAUCACCUCUCUUGCUGUCACAGGUCUCAGGCUUGCUUUACGUCUUUGUCUUACUCAGUGUACUUUUUCUCCCAGUAAACUUGAAAAUUGUUCAACACACUGUAAUGUCAGGAUGAAAUGUAUUUUCAGGCACUGUAGUACCCAAAAUUUGACUGGAUUUCUGUAUAUUUUGUUCUUGUGGGGAUAUUUCACGGUUUUCUUUCAGAAUAAAAUUAUUUUCCAAGAUGUAAUAAAA